UGAUGCGGUCAUACCAGCAGUAAAGCACCGGAUCCCAUCAGAACUUUGAAGUUAAGCGUGCUUGGACGAGAGUAGUACUAUGAUGGGUGACCUUCUGGGAAGUCCGCGUGGUGCAUUCC
This 119-nucleotide ribosomal RNA is filed under the name Hordeum vulgare subsp. vulgare (domesticated barley). The record is from RNAcentral. Lineage: Eukaryota; Viridiplantae; Streptophyta; Magnoliopsida; Poales; Poaceae.